AUGAGUUAGAGUCCGAUGCAGAAGAGCCGGAGACGGAAGUACCAACUGGAUGAGACGCGUGUGCUUCCUGCAUGUGGUGGAGGGGCCUGUACACAGCUGACAGGAAUACGGCGAGACCCACUGCAGGUCCAGAAACCACAGACUGCAUCCAGUACAUUGUAUACGUAUUAGUCGUAUUUAUGCUUCUCUCAGUAGCCUGUGUUGCCGACAUAUUUCCUACGCGAAGGGAAAUGCCUUCACGCCAGUCCAUGAGUUCUCUCCAGGAGAUGUCCCGCCGCGACAGAGCUCGUAACCCAUGUCCAUUCGUUCCGCACAAUGUCACGUUCAAGGAUGUGAAAAACGGAGGAACCCUUUUAUCUGCUGUCGGAGAUGGAUAUUCCCGAUGCCCCGACAGGAAAGGGGAAUGUGCGAAUUUCAUAUCAACCUGAUUUUCGUCUCGAGAAGGACUCUUGCGCAUUUUCUCAUGUAGUGGAGACGAGGAAGAUGACGGCAUCGCCCUGAUUGUCAACUGGAUGUUCACAGGCUCGGACCUGAUUCUGCGGGGACUGAGGCGCUCGUGAAGGAGAUCAAGAGCUUCUAGAACAAUGCUAAGGUCUUUUUCUUCAGAUACGGCAAUGAACAGAUUCUCAUCUCCAGAAAUGCUGUUUCUGCCCAGAUUCCUCUGGUACGAUUGUCUAGCCAAUAAAGGUCCGGCGUUGUCAC
RNAcentral lists this long non-coding RNA (702 nucleotides) under Toxoplasma gondii VEG. Lineage: Eukaryota; Apicomplexa; Conoidasida; Eucoccidiorida; Sarcocystidae. The record is from RNAcentral.